This is a transfer RNA of Thecamonas trahens ATCC 50062, 72 nucleotides long. It matches the Rfam family "tRNA". Rfam says of the family: Transfer RNA (tRNA) molecules are approximately 80 nucleotides in length. The record is from Rfam. Lineage: Eukaryota; Apusomonadida; Apusomonadidae.
GUCCGCAUGGUCUAGUGGCAUGACAUCUGUCUACGGAACAGAAGGCUGUGGUUUCGAUUACCACUGUGGACU